RNAcentral lists this non-coding RNA (34 nucleotides) under unclassified sequences. RNAcentral's name for it is "S4-Bacteroidia ribosomal protein leader". It matches the Rfam family "S4-Bacteroidia ribosomal protein leader". The record is from RNAcentral.
AAUUGCAUUUUAAACCUCUCUGCAAUUGCGGCUG